Molecule: ribosomal RNA, 407 nt
Filed under: uncultured Microbacterium sp.
Lineage: Bacteria; Bacillati; Actinomycetota; Actinomycetes; Micrococcales; Microbacteriaceae
Description: bacterial SSU rRNA
Rfam family: Bacterial small subunit ribosomal RNA
Source: RNAcentral
UGGGGAAUAUUGCACAAUGGGCGGAAGCCUGAUGCAGCAACGCCGCGUGGGGGAUGACGGCCUUCGGGUUGUAAACCUCUUUUAGCAGGGAAGAAGCGUGAGUGACGGUACCUGCAGAAAAAGCACCGGCUAACUACGUGCCAGCAGCCGCGGUAAUACGUAGGGUGCAAGCGUUAUCCGGAAUUAUUGGGCGUAAAGAGCUCGUAGGCGGUUUGUCGCGUCUGCUGUGAAAUCCCGAGGCUCAACCUCGGGCCUGCAGUGGGUACGGGCAGACUAGAGUGCGGUAGGGGAGAUUGGAAUUCCUGGUGUAGCGGUGGAAUGCGCAGAUAUCAGGAGGAACACCGAUGGCGAAGGCAGAUCUCUGGGCCGUAACUGACGCUGAGGAGCGAAAGGGUGGGGAGCAAACA